CCCGGCCUGUGGUACAGAUCUAUUUAUGCACGACAUCUUGAGUAAAGCAGUUCAUAUUUAAAGCGUUAUCAUUGAUAAUUCUUCACUGACGAAUUUCCUUCAAUAAGUGCCUCCAUAAGUAAAGAUUGAUAACCGGCUAUAACACGCCCGUGGUGGCAAAUUUUUUAAACAAAGGAAAUAAUAAAUGUCUAGUCAAAAUCAUAAAGGUCAAGUAAAGUGGUUCAAUGAAUCUAAAGGUUUUGGUUUUAUCACUCCAGAAGACGGCAGCAAAGAUGUAUUUGUACACUUCUCUGCCAUCCAAGAUAACGGUUUUAAAACCUUGGCAGAAGGACAGAAUGUAAGCUUUUCUAUAGAAAACGGUGCUAAAGGCCCGUCUGCAGCGAACGUUACUCCCCUCUAGUUCUUUCUUCACUACCGCGCCCUAUGUUCGCUUCCUCGUCGUUAGGAAGCCGCUGGGCGCGGUUUU
RNAcentral lists this small RNA (466 nucleotides) under Candidatus Regiella insecticola LSR1. RNAcentral describes it as "cspA thermoregulator". It matches the Rfam family "cspA thermoregulator". The record is from Rfam by way of RNAcentral. Lineage: Bacteria; Pseudomonadati; Pseudomonadota; Gammaproteobacteria; Enterobacterales; Enterobacteriaceae.